Molecule: ribosomal RNA, 255 nt
Filed under: uncultured bacterium
Lineage: Bacteria
Description: partial 16S ribosomal RNA
Rfam family: Bacterial small subunit ribosomal RNA
Source: RNAcentral
UACAGAGGGUGCGAGCGUUGUUCGGAAUUACUGGGCGUAAAGCGCGCGCAGGCGGCCCUUUAAGUCCGUCGGUCAAAUGCCGGGGCUCAACCCCGAUGCAUGCCGAGGAUACUGGAGGGCUGGAGACACGUAGAGGCAAGCGGAAUUCCGGGUGUAGCGGUGGAAUGCGUAGAGAUCCGGAAGAACACCGGAGGCGAAGGCGGCUUGCUGGGCGUGAUAUGACGCUGAGGCGCGAAAGCGUGGGGAGCGAACAGG